UUUUUUUUAUUUUUUCGCGUUUUUUUUUUCUUCCAAUUUUUUUUUGUUUUUUGUUUGGGGUCUCGUCUCAUUGGGAAAGAAUGAAAUGGAUCACGACAUAUACUUAAUAUUAUAAAAAAAAUAAGUGAACCAACAAACAAUAAAGUAACGUUAACAUGAAUAAAAAAGCGAAUAAAUAUGAAAACAAGUAAAA
Molecule: non-coding RNA, 193 nt
Filed under: Lotharella globosa
Lineage: Eukaryota; Cercozoa; Chlorarachniophyceae
Source: RNAcentral